GAUGAACGCUGGCGGCGUGCCUAAUACAUGCAAGUCGAGCGAACAGACGAGGAGCUUGCUCCUCUGACGUUAGCGGCGGACGGGUGAGUAACACGUGGAUAACCUACCUAUAAGACUGGGAUAACUUCGGGAAACCGGAGCUAAUACCGGAUAAUAUAUUGAACCGCAUGGUUCAAUAGUGAAAGACGGUUUUGCUGUCACUUAUAGAUGGAUCCGCGCCGCAUUAGCUAGUUGGUAAGUUAACGGCUUACCAAGGCAACGAUGCGUAGCCGACCUGAGAGGGUGAUCGGCCACACUGGAACUGAGACACGGUCCAGACUCCUACGGGAGGCAGCAGUAGGGAAUCUUCCGCAAUGGGCGAAAGCAUGACGGAGCAACGCCGCGUGAGUGAUGAAGGUCUUCGGAUCGUAAAACUCUGUUAUUAGGGAAGAACAAAUGUGUAAGUAACUAUGCACGUCUUGACGGUACCUAAUCAGAAAGCCACGGCUAACUACGUG
Molecule: ribosomal RNA, 497 nt
Filed under: uncultured bacterium
Lineage: Bacteria
Description: partial 16S ribosomal RNA
Rfam family: Bacterial small subunit ribosomal RNA
Source: RNAcentral